This 449-nucleotide long non-coding RNA is filed under the name Vigna radiata. RNAcentral describes it as "long non-coding RNA (VRAD_LNC002380)". The record is from RNAcentral. Lineage: Eukaryota; Viridiplantae; Streptophyta; Magnoliopsida; Fabales; Fabaceae.
CACACCCCAUUUAAUACCCCUCCUUAGUGGGGUACACGUGUCAGCCAUCCGGUCUUCCCUGGUAAAGUGGGAGACCAACUCUGCCAAGCUUUUAAUUCCCUUCUUCGUGAUCCGUGUGGCAGCAGCAGGAAUGUGAACUUCCAGGAAGUGGAAGUCAGGUGGCACGCUGGGAGUGGGCCGAACGUUCUUAGUGGAGGCAGUAUUUAAGGUAAGAUGAAAAAUCCUGACGCCACUUUUCCCAUGCAAACUUCAUCUUCCUCAAACUUGUCUUUCUGAAAAUCUCAAAUCCUCCUCCUUCUCUCUAAAACCUCCCAACCUUCUCUCUAGAUUUCUAACCUCCAAUUCUUCUCCGAUCACUUGCAUCCGUUCAGGAUUAUUGCUGCCGGCACCAAGACCUUCAAACGGUACCAACCAGAAUUUCAUUCUGAACUGGUAAGUGUCCGAACCCU